GAGGAAUAUUGGUCAAUGGGCGAGAGCCUGAACCAGCCAAGUCGCGUGAAGGAUGACUGUCUUAUGGAUUGUAAACUUCUUUUAUACGGGAAUAACAAGAGUCACGUGUGACUCCCUGCAUGUACCGUAUGAAUAAGCAUCGGCUAACUCCGUGCCAGCAGCCGCGGUAAUACGGAGGAUGCGAGCGUUAUCCGGAUUUAUUGGGUUUAAAGGGUGCGUAGGCGGUUUGUUAAGUUAGCGGUGAAAUCUAGAGGCUCAACCUCGAAACUGCCGUUGAAACUGGCGAACUUGAGUGUAGAUGAGGUAGGCGGAAUUCGUGGUGUAGCGGUGAAAUGCAUAGAUAUCACGAGGAACUCCGAUUGCGAAGGCAGCUUACUAAGGUACAACUGACGCUGAAGCACGAAAGCGUGGGUAUCAAACAGGAUUAGAUACCCUGGUAGUCCACGCAGUAAACGAUGAUAACUGGGCGUAUGCGAUAUACAGUAUGCUCCUAAGCGAAAGCGUUAAGUUAUCCACCUGGGGAGUACGCCGGCAACGGUG
This 540-nucleotide ribosomal RNA is filed under the name uncultured bacterium. Its description in RNAcentral is "bacterial SSU rRNA". It matches the Rfam family "Bacterial small subunit ribosomal RNA", at positions 356 to 896 of the family's 1533-position model. The record is from RNAcentral.